CACGUGUACUAAGUUUGAAGUCGAUUGGACUUCAACUUCAUCAAAAACUACCUUGACCAAAAACUUUAACCUGGAGCGGGACAGACGGACGAACGAACAGACAGACGGACGGACGGACGAACAGACGCACAGACCAGAAAACAUAAUGCCCCUCUACUAUCGUAGGUGGGGCAUAAAAAUGUGGUGCACACUGUUAAAUAACCCGCUACGCGCGUUAUUCAGUAUGCACCAAAUUUUUUAUGUUAUUUCUUCAUAGACAGAAAAAAUAUUACAGUCAUUCCUUAAAU
RNAcentral lists this long non-coding RNA (287 nucleotides) under Mytilus galloprovincialis (Mediterranean mussel). The record is from RNAcentral. Lineage: Eukaryota; Metazoa; Mollusca; Bivalvia; Mytilida; Mytilidae.